Molecule: ribosomal RNA, 572 nt
Filed under: Rhynchobatus australiae (whitespotted wedgefish)
Lineage: Eukaryota; Metazoa; Chordata; Chondrichthyes; Rhinopristiformes; Rhynchobatidae
Description: partial 16S ribosomal RNA
Rfam family: Bacterial large subunit ribosomal RNA
Source: RNAcentral
GGUCCAGCCUGCCCUGUGAUAAUCACUUUUAACGGCCGCGGUAUCCUGACCGUGCGAAGGUAGCGUAAUCACUUGUCCUUUAAUUGAGGACCCGUAUGAAUGGCAUCACGAGAGUUUAUCUGUCUCUAUUUUCUAAUCAAUGAAAUUGGCUUCCUCGUGCAGAGACGAGAAUAAUAACAUAAGACGAGAAGACCCUAUGGAGCUUUAAACACUUAAGUUAAUUACUCCAUAUAAAUCACCCUCCGGGCAUAAAACAACAUAAAUAAAUCUAACUUAACUUGUUUUUGGUUGGGGCGACCAAGGGGAAAAACAAAACCCCCUUAUCGACUGAGUAUUCAAUAUACUUAAAAAUUAAAACGAAUAGUUUUAAUUAAUAGAACAUCUAACGAACAAUGACCCAGGACACAUAUCCUGAUCAAUGAACCAAGUUACCCUAGGGAUAACAGCGCAAUCCUUUCUCAGAGUCCCUAUCGCCGAAAGGGUUUACGACCUCGAUGUUGGAUCAGGACAUCCUAAUGGUGUAGCCGCUAUUAAGGGUUCGUUUGUUCAACGAUUAACAGUCCUACGUGAUC